AUGAGGCUGGUGUGUGUAAAUGGCCUGAGAUUCAGGCACCUCAGGCUUGCGUUCCUCGCCAUCUUUGCGGUGUUUCUUCUUUGGAAAUGGGACAAGGGAUCACUGUACAGUCCUGGUAUCCUCCGACCGGAGCCAUUGGUCUUGAAUCGGAAUACCUCCAUGGAGGAAGACCCCCCCAUCAUCGAUCCAUUGGUGCAGUCGGUCACUGAAGUAGGAAAGGAAGGCAUUUCUGCACCUCCACCUCUGUCCAUAGUUCAUAACUCUGAAGAUGUCGCUGAUAACGCGGGAACAGCACCUCCUCAGAAGAAAGAAUGUGACUACAGGAAUGGAGAAUGGGUUCCUGAUAACCACAGGCCACUGUAUUCUGGCCCCAGAUGUAAAAGAUGGCUCUCUGAGAGCUGGAACUGCAGAUUGACACAACGCACAGAUUUCGCUUACGAGAAAUUUAGAUGGCAGCCUGAAGGCUGCGAUAUGCCAGCGUUUCAAGCUGCCCAAUUCUUGACAAGAAUGCAGGAUAAAACCAUUGCUUAUGUAGGCGACUCUUUAGGGAGGCAGAUGUUCCAGUCGAUGAUGUGCAUGCUUGCGGCAUCUGGGAAACAUGAUUCAGAUGUGGAAGAUGUUGGCUCCAAGUACGGAAUGGCCCAGACACAUCGUGCAAAACGACCAACACGGUCAGUAGGCUCGGCCUACCGGUUCCGGAGCACAAACACGACCGUCCUGUAUUACUGGUCAUCGACGCUCUGCGAUCUGGAGCCUCUCAGGCGAUCAAAUCCAGCUGCCGGUUACGCCAUGCACCUUGAUCGCCCACCUUCGUUUCUCAAGAAGAACCUUCACAGGCUCCACGUCCUUGUUCUGAACACCGGGCAUCACUGGAACAGGGGUAAGCUGAAGGCGAACAAGUGGGAAAUGUACGCCUCAGGAGCACCGAAUAACAACCGAGAGAUCGCCAGCAUGUGGAAGGCGAAAAACUUCACUAUACAUGGUGUUAUUAAGUGGCUAGAUGCCCAGCUUCCUAGAUAUCCCCACCUGAAGGUAUUCUACAGAUCACUGUCACCAAGGCAUUUCUUCAAUGGGGAGUGGAACACCGGAGGCACUUGCAACAACAAAGAUCCUUUGGCCAAGGGUAACAGGGUGUUUCAGAAUCAUUCCGAAGAUGCCGACAGCGAAGGAGCGGCAAAAGGCACUAGGAUCAAGCUCUUGGAUAUCACCGCGCUUUCACGGCUACGCGACGAAGGGCACAUAUCAAAGUACAGUAUCAGAGCUACACCAGGGGUCCAAGAUUGCUUGCACUGGUGCCUUCCUGGUGUUCCAGACACAUGGAAUGAAAUACUGUCCGCUCAACUGUAG
RNAcentral lists this ribosomal RNA (1347 nucleotides) under Triticum aestivum (bread wheat). Its description in RNAcentral is "partial small subunit ribosomal RNA". Lineage: Eukaryota; Viridiplantae; Streptophyta; Magnoliopsida; Poales; Poaceae. The record is from RNAcentral.